UCAGAUUCUUUAAAUUAUAUUUAAAAAGAUAAAAUAUUAAAAUAUUUUUUAAAAUAAAAAAAUUAAUGACAGUAAAAUAAUAUAUUUGAAAAAAAAUAACAAUUUUAUUAAAAUAAUAACUGCAUCUAACUGUGCACUACGAAAUUUAACUUUAGAAAUAUAUUUGAAAUAUUUUAAAAUUUUAAAAAGAUAUUUUUAAUAUUAAACUUUUAAGAAGAAUAAAUAAAAAAGUCAAAAAAUUUUCAAAAAUAUAAAAGCAAUUGUCUCUAAAUUAUAAUAAUAAUAAUAGUAAUUUUUAAAAUUAUAUUUUUUUAUAUAAAAUUAGUAAAUCAUUUU
This 336-nucleotide long non-coding RNA is filed under the name Ananas comosus (pineapple). RNAcentral's name for it is "long non-coding RNA (ACOM_LNC008254)". The record is from RNAcentral. Lineage: Eukaryota; Viridiplantae; Streptophyta; Magnoliopsida; Poales; Bromeliaceae.